RNAcentral lists this ribosomal RNA (628 nucleotides) under uncultured archaeon. Its description in RNAcentral is "bacterial SSU rRNA". It matches the Rfam family "Archaeal small subunit ribosomal RNA", at positions 1 to 617 of the family's 1478-position model. The record is from RNAcentral.
UCCGGUUGAUCCUGCCAGAGGCCGCUGCUAUCCGGCUGGGACUAAGCCAUGCUAGCCUAGGGGCUUGUACUCCUUCGGGGGUGCAAGCACCGGCGGACGGCUCAGUAACACGUGGACAACCUGCCCUCGGGUGGGGGAUAACCCCGGGAAACUGGGGCUAAUCCCCCAUAGGUGAUGGGUGCUGGAAUGCCCCAUCUCCGAAAGCGCUUAGCGCCCGAGGAUGGGUCUGCGGCGGAUUAGGUAGUUGGUGGGGUAACGGCCCACCAAGCCUAAGAUCCGUACGGGCUGUGGGAGCAGGAGCCCGGAGAUGGACCCUGAGACAAGGGUCCAGGCCCUACGGGGCGCAGCAGGCGCGAAACCUCCGCAAUGCGGGAAACCGCGACGGGGUUAGCCGGAGUGCCCGUGCAUUGCACGGGCUGUCGGGGUGCCUAAACAGCACCCCAUAGCAAGGGCCGGGCAAGGCCGGUGGCAGCCGCCGCGGUAAGACCGGCGGCCCGAGUGGCGGCCACUCUUAUUGGGCCUAAAGCGUCCGUAGCCGGCCCAGUAAGUCCCCCGGGAAAUCUGGUCGCUUAACGAUCAGACUUCCGGGGGAUACUGCUGGGCUAGGGACCGGGAGAGGCCGAGGGUA